GCUCUCUCCCCUACUUCCUUGAGACCACUUUUUAUUUACUACCCCAUUUUUAGUCCUUUCCUGGCCAGCCUAUUUAGCAUGGGGCCACUAUCUCCCCAUGUCUUUACCCUGUUUAUUUUUCUUUCUUAGAACUUACCAUUAUCUGACACAUAGUUCUUAUUUAUCAGCCUUCUCUCUUAUUAGAAAGUCAGCUGAGCCAGAAUAGGAACUUUGACUCCUUUUGUUUGCCACUCUAUCCCUGGUGCUUUGAAUAAUGCCUGGCACACAGCAGAAGUUUAAUAAAUAAUGAAUGAAUGAAUCCUGUGAAGAGGCCCAUGAAGCACUUUCCAAAACCUCCAACCCCCCAGUUCUUCCAUUUUUCAGAUUAGGACCUUAGGCCCAAAAUAAGAGAGAAGUACCUUUCCCAAUGUCACCCAGUAGUCAAUAGCAGGCAAAGUCCUGAUUGUGUGCCUCUCUCUCAUUUCCCAGGCCUGGCCUCCCUCCCUACAUGCCUCAGCAAUCAUGAAAGAAAUGGAUGCCAGCUCCUGCUUCUUGUGACAUUAUGAAGGUCAUGCUUCAAAAGGUUCCCCAAAAAACUGAAGGCAAGAGGCUGAAGCUAUGAUACCACCAGGAGGGAGGUGAUGAGGACCUGGAUUCCUUGUGACUGGGAAAGUCAAGAGGAAGGGCAAAGUCUAGGAUUCUUUGUGAAAGAAACUUGUUGAAUAAUUGUGGUGUUUAAAGGUUCAAAAGGAAAAACUCAAAGUGAUAGCAAGGAGGCUGGAGGAGAGAUGGAAGGCAAUUGGCAUCUGCAGAUGUUCUACUGAGCUGUUCCCCACACCAACAGUGUAAUGGUCAGAGGGCCCUGUGAGCUUGCGGUCAGGAUCCCCCCACAGUACAGCUGAGGAACCCAAGUGAGGUGCAGAGAAAUGAAGCGAUGUGUCCACAUCCCAGGACCUGGGAGACAAUGGAGUGAUGUGGAGAUACUGUGACCUGCAGGGUCAGCUGCCUGUCACAACCAGG
Molecule: long non-coding RNA, 999 nt
Organism: Felis catus (domestic cat)
Lineage: Eukaryota; Metazoa; Chordata; Mammalia; Carnivora; Felidae
Exons: 2
Source: RefSeq, a predicted model, not a curated record